GAUGAACGCUGGCGGCGUGCCUAAUACAUGCAAGUCGAGCGAACAGACGAGGAGCUUGCUCCUCUGACGUUAGCGGCGGACGGGUGAGUAACACGUGGAGAACCUACCUAUAAGACUGGGAUAACUUCGGGAAACCGGAGCUAAUACCGGAGAAUAUAUUGAACCGCAUGGUUCAAUAGUGAAAGACGGUUUUGCUGUCACUUAUAGAUGGAUCCGCGCCGCAUUAGCUAGUUGGUAAGGUAACGGCUUACCAAGGCAACGAUGCGUAGCCGACCUGAGAGGGUGAUCGGCCACACUGGAACUGAGACACGGUCCAGACUCCUACGGGAGGCAGCAGUAGGGAAUCUUCCGCAAUGGGCGAAAGCCUGACGGAGCAACGCCGCGUGAGUGAUGAAGGUCUUCGGAUCGUAAAACUCUGUUAUUAGGGAAGAACAAAUGUGUAAGUAACUAUGCACGUCUUGACGGUACCUAAUCAGAAAGCCACGGCUAACUACGUG
Molecule: ribosomal RNA, 497 nt
Filed under: uncultured bacterium
Lineage: Bacteria
Description: partial 16S ribosomal RNA
Rfam family: Bacterial small subunit ribosomal RNA
Source: RNAcentral